GCCGCCAGCGGCUGGUCGGUGAACAGCCUGUCCACCUGCGACAGGUGAGCCAGUUCCACCAUGGCCUGGCGGUG
Molecule: transfer RNA, 74 nt
Filed under: Cupriavidus yeoncheonensis
Lineage: Bacteria; Pseudomonadati; Pseudomonadota; Betaproteobacteria; Burkholderiales; Burkholderiaceae
Description: tRNA-Arg
Source: RNAcentral